AGUUGUAUUCAACAGUUAAACCAGGCCCUUAAAGCUCCAUGGAAAAUUCUUAAUUGUAUCAUAUCUCCUUGCUCUGGUGGGUUCUAAAUUUCUUAUACUUUGACGAUGUAACCAGGCUGCCUUCGCUAAUGGCUUUUGCUCUUGUUCCUCUUUCCUUUUCCUUACUCUUUCUGCUGCCAAGUUUUGCUCUUGCUCAAAACGGAGGUAAUCUAACUGUGGGUGCUUCUCUCACUGCAUCUGAUCAAAACUCCUCAUGGCUUUCACCUUCUGGUGAAUUUGCCUUUGGUUUUCGUCAACUGAACAACAGCGUCGAUCUCUUCUUGCUUGCUAUUUGGUAUGACCAAAUACCAGACAAAACCAUUGUUUGGUAUGCUAAUGGAGAUGACCCUGCACCCAAGAAUUCAAAAGUCGAGCUAACCGAUGGCGGGCUAGUCCUUACUGACCCACGACGAGCGGAGCUAUGGAGAUCCGUGACAACUGGCGCUGUUACUUCUGGUGCCAUGACGGAUGCUGGCAAUUUUGUGCUUCAAGAUGGUCAUUCUGUCGCUUGGGAAAGCUUCAAGAAUCCUACUGAUACAAUAUUGCCUUCACAAACCUUGGACAGGCAAGGGGUGCUUUCUUCUCGAUAUUCAGAUACCAAUUUUUCCAGGGGAAGGUUUCAGCUGAAACUUCAAGAAGAUGGUAAUCUUGUCCUUGCUACAGUAAACUUGCCCUCUGAUCAUACUAAUGAACCUUAUUAUGAAAGCGGCACUGAAGGCGAUUCAAAUUCCUCGAGUCCUGGUUACCAAUUGAUCUUCAAUUCAUCAGGAUACUUGUAUAUAUUGAGAGAAAAUCGCCAAAAAUUCACUCUCGGUGUGGAACCUCCAACUGGAAACUUCUAUCACAGAGCAACUCUCAAUUUUGAUGGAGUUUUUACUUAUUAUUAUCGCCCAAAAGCAUCAACUGGCAACGAAAGGUGGACUCCUCUUUGGAAUAAACCGAUUAAUAUUUGCCAAAACAGCAGGGUAACCGCUGGUAGUGGCGUCUGUGGGUUCAAUAGUGUCUGCACACUGGUCCAAGAUCAGAGACCGACCUGUGAAUGCCCGAGCGGAUAUUCUUUAUUUGAUCCAAAUGAUCAGUAUGGCGGUUGCAAAGCAAACUUCACACAGAGAUGUGAAGAAAGUGAGAUGGGUCCGGUGGAAGAUUUAUAUGGUUUUGAAGUGCUUCUAAAUACUGAUUGGCCAACGUCGGAUUAUGCCCUCUUGCAGCCUUUUACUGAAGAUGGCUGUAGGCAAUCCUGUUUACAGGAUUGUAUGUGCGCUGUUGCUAUUUUCAGAUCAGGCAAUAUGUGUUGGAAGAAGAAGCUGCCACUCUCA
RNAcentral lists this unclassified non-coding RNA (1355 nucleotides) under Hevea brasiliensis (rubber tree). The record is from RNAcentral. Lineage: Eukaryota; Viridiplantae; Streptophyta; Magnoliopsida; Malpighiales; Euphorbiaceae.